GCCGUCUUUUUCCCCGGUGCCCUGAGAACGGUUGCAGGUCCUUCCCGUAGCUCCAUCUGUGAAAGGCAGAGCUGGCAGGAACAAUUCUCAAUGCACAAGAGCCUGGGAAGCCAGGCUGAGGAGGAGCUCAUGGGAGCGGAGAGAAGAGCAGCAAAUCCCUCUGUCAACAGGAACUUCAAGGAAACCACUACAGAAGCCUAAGGUGUGCAGCCAGCUCCUAUUCUGCAGAUGAUGACUCAGAGGGAGAGAAACCUAUCACUUGCUCCAGGAUGCACAAGAUUUCCAUUCUUGCUGAAAACAUCCACAAUGUGUCUCCAGCCGAGAACACGGAGCUGAGCAGUGAGGUUGAUGCAAGUGAGACUGCCACCAUGAAAUGUAAUCAUCUCUCUUAGACAACGUGGGCUUCUACAACAAAAAAACAUAGGCUGUGGAACUGGAAUAAUAGAUAUUGAUUUCUCAUGGUUCUGGAGUCUGGGAAGUCCAGAUUAAUGGACUGUGGGCUGUUGAGGAAGUGGCUUUAUUGGAAAGGCCAGUUCUCUCUGCAUGCUUGCUGUGUCUUACUGUUUAAUACCUCAUGUGUCUCGAGAUGCUGUACAGUCCCCAUCAACAAAAAGACAACAAACAGAUGGUGUCCCCUGAACUUGGACUUCACAGCCUCCAGAAGGCAAAGCCCAGAAACUAUGGUAUUCAGACUGGCUUUCAAGGAAGAAAAG
Heterocephalus glaber (naked mole-rat) is the source of this 713-nucleotide long non-coding RNA. NCBI's taxonomy places the organism in Eukaryota, Metazoa, Chordata, Mammalia, Rodentia, Bathyergidae. The record is from Ensembl.